Molecule: long non-coding RNA, 299 nt
Organism: Ficedula albicollis (Collared flycatcher)
Lineage: Eukaryota; Metazoa; Chordata; Aves; Passeriformes; Muscicapidae
Exons: 3
Source: RefSeq, a predicted model, not a curated record
AGUAAAGCCAUCUCCUCCGCGUGCAUGAACGGGGCCCGGGGGGCUUUGCUCCCACUGCUACCCACUGCAACAGGAGAAGGCUGUUAUUGAUGAGGAAAGGAGAAUAGUGGUUACAUCCUUGAUCAUUUUGGAUCCUGGAACCAGGUACCACCCGGCCAACAAGCCAAGAGCUGCUCGUGUCCCCAGUGGCCUAGGCCUGCUCUCCAAUGGUCCACAGUGGUCAAGUUAUGUAAUCAAGGUCUCUUGCAGCAAAUGGGACAUCAAAACCUAGUGUUAAAAUCCUCAAAGCUUUAAAAGCC